Molecule: transfer RNA, 74 nt
Filed under: Pseudoclavibacter chungangensis
Lineage: Bacteria; Bacillati; Actinomycetota; Actinomycetes; Micrococcales; Microbacteriaceae
Description: Pseudoclavibacter sp. CAU 59 tRNA
Rfam family: tRNA
About the family: Transfer RNA (tRNA) molecules are approximately 80 nucleotides in length. Their secondary structure includes four short double-helical elements and three loops (D, anti-codon, and T loops).
Source: Rfam by way of RNAcentral
GGGGCGGUAGCUCAGCUGGUCAGAGCAGGCGACUCAUAAUCGCUCGGUCACGGGUUCAAGUCCCGUCCGCCCCA